UACGAAGGGGGCUAGCGUUGCUCGGAAUCACUGGGCGUAAAGGGCGCGUAGGCGGCGUUUUAAGUCGGGGGUGAAAGCCUGUGGCUCAACCACAGAAUGGCCUCCGAUACUGGGACGCUUGAGUAUGGUAGAGGUUGGUGGAACUGCGAGUGUAGAGGUGAAAUUCGUAGAUAUUCGCAAGAACACCGGUGGCGAAGGCGGCUCUCUAGUACGGUACUGACGCUGAGACGCGAAAGCGUGGGGAGCGAACAGG
Molecule: ribosomal RNA, 253 nt
Filed under: uncultured bacterium
Lineage: Bacteria
Description: partial 16S ribosomal RNA
Rfam family: Bacterial small subunit ribosomal RNA
Source: RNAcentral